AUUUCGUUGUGUCUUUAUGGCUGCGCAGUAGUCCACGGUGUAUAUUUACCACAUUUUCUUUAACCAGCCUGCCUCUGAUGGGCACCUAGGUUGAUUCUGUGUCUGCUAUAGUGAAAAGUUCUGCAAUUAACCUGUGAGUGCAGGUGUCUUUUUGGUAGAACAAUUUAUUUUCUUUUGGAUAUAUACCCAGUAAUGGGAUUGCUGGGUUGAAUGGUGGUUCUACCUUAAGUUCUUUUUUUUUUAUUUUGGGACAGAAAGUGCCCUGUAAUCCCAGCUACACAGGAGGCUGAGGCAGAAGAAUUGCUUGAACCUGGGAGGCGGAGGUUGCAGUGAGCUGAGAUCACACCAAUGCACUUCAGCCUGGGUGACAGAGUAAGACUCUGUCUCAAAACAGAAGAAAAAGAAAAAGCUUGCCGAUUGCCGAUUGCUGAUUUUGCAGCAGGGUCACACACAGAGCAUGUAGCCAAGGUGGAUUCAGCUGCACUGAAGAUCAGUUGCCCCAUCCCCGUGAAGUUGACUGUGCCCAAGUUAAGAAUACCUAGUGGAAUGUGGUCCUUGUUACCCGAGGAGCGAAGGUGCGUCUGUUCGGGCUGUCACUCCGUCUGUUUUGCAGCACCUCGCUCAAGUAAGUUACCCUGGAAUUAACACCUCCUAUAUUUGGAAAAAUCCUUGUGGUUGUCGUUCAAGCACUGCUAUAUGCUGGUGUCUGUCCACAUAAAAGACAACAGUCAAAAAGACACACACAUUGAUUUCAAAUGUGUGACGCAAGGCAGCAGUAUGCACGGAUAUCAAACUAAAGAAGAUGCAUGUUUCACAUAAGCCUGCACCAGGGAAAUUUUAUGUAUGGAGCUUAAAGUUAGAAGCCAGCCUCGAAGUCUGCUAUUUAAAAGGGCCAUGUCCAAUGAUAUUCAAAUUAAUAAAGCAAAAAUUGAAUUAAGGAGGCCAAGCAUAUCCUUUUAAAAUGUAGCUGACUAAAGUGCUGAUAGAGAAGCAAGGUUUAGGCUAAACGGAAGGUCUUCUUCAUUCGAUAACGAUUCUUAAAAGUCUGCAUGCCAUGUACCAAGGACUCAGAGACAAUCAAGACACAGUCCUCAACCUCAAGCACAUGACGGAUCUUUGAAACGUGAAAUAGGAACACAGAGUUGGGGGCAACUAACCUGUCCUGAUGGACCUGGGGUGGGUUUCACAGAGACGAUAUUUAAGUGGAGACUUGAAAGGCAAGUUGACAUUUUCCAGGUGCAAAAAGAAGGGGAAAAGCAUUUCAGGCAAAGGCACAGGCGUGUAAAAGGAUCUGGCAAAUCUAAGGGAUGUGGGAAACAAGAGAAUUUCCAUGCUUUUGGAAGACAAUGAUAACACAGGUUUCAUCAGAAGUGUUCCUGAUGAGCAUUCUUUAUGAGCCAUGUCUCAAACUGGGGCCUUUAUUUCUGUCUUCUUUCCCUGUCUGGAACGUGCUAUCCAAUAUGGAAGCCACUGGCCACAUGUGGCUAUUGAGUGCUUGAAACAUGGUGAGUAUGACUGAAGAACUGAAUUUUUAAUUUCAUUUUAACUUAAAUGUAAAAAUGCAUACACUUGAUUUAGUUGCUGGAAAAUUUUUUAGCAUGUGAAGAAUGACUUGGUUAUGUGAAUCUACUUUUUCAACUAUAAAUUUUAUGUACUCUAAAUACAGAUCAGGCCAGGCACAAUAGCUCAUGCCUAUAAUCCCAGCACUUUGGGAGGCCGAGCUGGGAGGAUCACUGAAGGUCAGGAGUUCGAGGCCAGCCUGGCCAACAUGUUGAAACCCCAUCUCUACUAAAAAUACAAAAAUAAAAAAUAAAAAUUAGCUGGGCAUGGUGACGCAUGCCUGUGUAAUCCCAGCUACUCAGGCGGCUGAGGUGGGAGGUUCCCUUAAGCCCAGGAGGUGGAAGUUGCAGUGAGCCAAGAUUGUGCCACUGCACUCCAGCCUGGGUGACAGAGUGAGAAUCUGUCUCAGAAACUAAACAAAAACCCAAAGAAUGUAACACAUCUCAUUGAUGACUUUUUAUAUUGAUUACGUGUUGAAAUGAUAUUUCAGCUAUAUUGGGUAAAUAAGAUAUAUUAUUAAAAUUAAUUUCAUUUGUUUUCCUUUUUAAAAUGUGGCUACUAACAUUUUUUGAACGACAUGUGGCUCAUUCUAUAUUUCUACUGA
This is a long non-coding RNA of Macaca mulatta (Rhesus monkey), 2164 nucleotides long. The record is from Ensembl. Lineage: Eukaryota; Metazoa; Chordata; Mammalia; Primates; Cercopithecidae.